Molecule: ribosomal RNA, 485 nt
Filed under: uncultured bacterium
Lineage: Bacteria
Description: bacterial SSU rRNA
Rfam family: Bacterial small subunit ribosomal RNA
Source: RNAcentral
GACGAACGCUGGCGGCGUGCUUAAUACAUGCAAGUCAACUUGACUUUAGAUAGCAAUAUCGAAAAGUAGGGUGGCGCACGGGUGCGUAACGCGUAGGUAAUCUGCCCUGAGGUCUGACAUAACCCGUCGAAAGGCGGGCUAACAUCAGAUGAUAUAUAAUCACGACAUCGUGGAAAUAUCAAAUCUUCGGAGCCUUGGGAUGAGCCUGCGUCUGAUUAGGUAGUUGGCGGAGUAAUAGCCCACCAAGCCUACGAUCAGUAGCUGGUCUGAGAGGAUGAUCAGCCACACUGGAACUGAGACACGGUCCAGACUCCUACGGGAGGCAGCAGUAAGGAAUAUUGCUCAAUGGGGGAAACCCUGAAGCAGCAACGCCGCGUGAAGGAUGAAAUACUUUUGUAUGUAGACUUCUGUAAGAUGGGAAAAAUAUUACUCCUCGGGAGAAUUGAUUGUACCAUCAGAGUAAGCCCCGGCUAACUACGUGCCAG